This 301-nucleotide ribosomal RNA is filed under the name uncultured bacterium. RNAcentral's name for it is "partial 16S ribosomal RNA". It matches the Rfam family "Bacterial small subunit ribosomal RNA", at positions 509 to 807 of the family's 1533-position model. The record is from RNAcentral.
CAGUCGCCGCGGGAAUACGUAGGGUGCGAGCGUUAAUCGGAAUUACUGGGCGUAAAGGGCGCGUAGGCGGGUUUUUAAGUCAGAGGUGAAAUCCCAAGGCUCAACCUUGGAACUGCCUUUGAUACUGGAAAUCUUGAGUCCGGGAGAGGUGAGUGGAACUGCGAGUGUAGAGGUGAAAUUCGUAGAUAUUCGCAAGAACACCAGUGGCGAAGGCGGCUCACUGGCCCGGUACUGACGCUGAGGCGCGAAAGCGUGGGGAGCAAACAGGAUUAGAGACCCCCGUAGUCCCUGUCUCUUAUAC